GACGAACGCUGGCGGCGUGCCUAAUACAUGCAAGUUGAGCGAUGAAGCUUGGUGCUUGCACCAAUUUGAAGAGCAGCGAACGGGUGAGUAACGUGUGGGGACUCUGCCUUUGAGCGGGGGACAACAUUUGGAAACGAAUGCUAAUACCGCAUAACAACUUUAAACAUAAGUUUUAAGUUUGAAAGAUGCAAUUGCAUCACUCAAGGAUGAUCCCGCGUUGUAUUAGCUAGGUGGUGAGGUAAAGGCUCAUCAAGGCGAUGAUACAUAGCCGACCUGAGAGGGUGGUUAGCCACAAUGGGACUGAGACACGGGCCAAACCUCCUCAGGAAGGGGCCAGAAGGAAUCUUCGGCAAUGGACGGAAGUCUGACCGAGCAACGCCGCGUGAGUGAAGAAGGUUGUCGGAUCGUAAAACUCUGUUGGUAGAGAAGAACGUUGGUGAGAGUGGAAAGCUCAUCAAGUGACGGUAACUACCCAGAAAGGGACGGCUAACUACGUG
This 497-nucleotide ribosomal RNA is filed under the name uncultured bacterium. RNAcentral's name for it is "partial 16S ribosomal RNA". It matches the Rfam family "Bacterial small subunit ribosomal RNA", at positions 28 to 507 of the family's 1533-position model. The record is from RNAcentral.